UGUCACUGGAUGACCCGUGACUGGGCAGAUUCAGUGGCGGUAUUGUUGUAAGAAAAGGCGUCUGGUAUCGGCCACCCAGUACUUUUCUAAAAACUUUGUAAAAGCUCAGCUAAAUUUCAGCACUAUAGAAAAUGAAACCUUAGCAUUACUUUUUGCUUUGCAGCACUUUGAGGUGGAAGUCCUUUACCUGUAAUAGUUUUUACUGACCAUAACCCAACGGUUGAUGUGAUGGUCUCUGGUGGUCCAGGGAUUCAACAUACAGUAUCUGACAAAACAUGGCAUCCAACUGGUCAGCGAGGUCAUCGAACAUGCUUCCAAUAUCAUCAAGAAUGUUGACUGUGCUUUUAAAACAUAAGAAACCCCUUUAAGGCUGUGAUGAUGUCCUUUACAUGUGCUCCUUGUCCAUCGGCAGGUUCAAGUAGCAUGACGUCACUGAACACAAAAGGUAAACGGGUGAUGACCUUCCCCUUGAUAUAAUGGGUUUUGUACUGUAAAAAGACACAAAUUGUAUAUGAUUCUGACUCAGGAUCAAAUUCCAUAUUAAACACAAUAUUGAACUGUACAUUGAAUUGGUAUUUAAAGGCAUGUCAUUGGAAUACUCCAAUAUUCGGCUGAAGGGAGCCAUAGGCCGACUUUUUCAAGAGGACCAGGGAUUGUAUCUCUGAGACCAGUCCUGAGCUUGAAAACUUUUGUCUGGAAGUGUGAAAAUGACCUUAGUUUAAAUCAAACUGUUUUAUCUGUCUGCAUUAAGAAAUCAAACCAGUGAAUAUGUUGAAGUUGU
Ictalurus punctatus (channel catfish) is the source of this 781-nucleotide long non-coding RNA. RefSeq lists it as uncharacterized. The record is from RefSeq and is a predicted model, not a curated record. Lineage: Eukaryota; Metazoa; Chordata; Actinopteri; Siluriformes; Ictaluridae. The transcript has 3 exons.